This 576-nucleotide small RNA is filed under the name Pan troglodytes (chimpanzee). RNAcentral describes it as "retained intron". The record is from RNAcentral. Lineage: Eukaryota; Metazoa; Chordata; Mammalia; Primates; Hominidae.
AGAGCUCAGAUCAGCGGCGGCCAGUGCCCACUUCACCCUCAGAGGGCGAAGAACACCAAGACGCCCCGACCCGGGUCCGGGGACGGGGGAGGGAAAAGUCUGGGGUCACUCCCCGUUGCCCCCUCCCCCCACCCCAUGGAUCCAGACGAUGCUUGGCCCGGGACUCCCUGAGGCCCUGCCCGCGGUGGGUUCUCCGGCGCCAGAGUCGGGGGCGGGCGGGGGUCACCCGAGGGCCGCUCCCCGGUGACCCGCGCCCGCCCGCCUCCAGCACGGGGCCGCGCCUCGCGGUGGCCCGCGAGCUGCUCCUGGCUGCGCUGGAGGAACUGAGCCAAGAGCAGCUGAAGCGCUUCCGCCACAAGCUGCGCGACGUGGGCCCGGACGGACGCAGCAUCCCGUGGGGGCGGCUGGAGCGCGCGGACGCCGUGGACCUCGCGGAGCAGCUGGCCCAGUUCUACGGCCCGGAGCCUGCGCUGGAGGUGGCCCGCAAGACCCUCAAGAGGGCGGACGCGCGCGACGUGGCGGCGCAGCUCCAGGAGCAGCGGCUGCAGCGGCUCGGGCUCGGCUCCGGGACGCUGC